GAUGAACGCUGGCGGCGUGCCUUAUACAUGCGAGUCGAGUGGGUUUAGACCCACGGCCCACGGGUGAGUAACACGUAGGUACUUUCCUUGUCACAGGAAUAACCCUCCGAAAGGAGGGCUAAUACCUGAUGUGAUCGCAAGAUUAAAGGGUAUCCGCAAGGAUUACCGGACAAGAAGAGGCCUGCGGCCUAUCAGCUAGUUGGCGGGGUAAAUGCCCACCAAGGCUAUGACGGGUAGCUGGUCUUAUGAGGAUGAUCAGUCACAUGGGCACUGAGACACGGGCCCAACUCCUACGGGAGGCAGCAGUAGGGAAUUUUGCGCAAUGGGCGAAAGCCUGACGCAGCGACGCCGCGUGCGGGAUGAAGGCCUUCGGGUCGUAAACCGCUUUUAUAAGGGACGAACUUUGACGGUACCUUAUGAAUAAGAGGUUGCUAACUCUGUG
Molecule: ribosomal RNA, 442 nt
Filed under: uncultured bacterium
Lineage: Bacteria
Description: partial 16S ribosomal RNA
Rfam family: Bacterial small subunit ribosomal RNA
Source: RNAcentral